AUAUUGGAGGGCAAGUCUGGUGCCAGCAGCCGCGGUAAUUCCAGCUCCAAUAGCGUAUAUUAAAGUUGUUGCGGUUAAAAAGCUCGUAGUUGGAUCUCAGUUCAUGUUGAGUGGUCCACCUUUCGGUGGUUACCACUUAGCUGAACAUUUUACAGACCUUGUCUCUUGAUUCUCUUAACCGAGUGUCAUGAGCGAUCUGUACGUUCACUUUGAACAAAUUAGAGUGCUCAAAGCAGGCAACUCUCGCCCGAAUAAUCAUGCAUGGAAUAAUGAAAUAGGACCUUGGUUCUAUUUUGUUGGUCUUCGGAAUCCGAGGUAAUGAUUAAGAGGGACAGACGGGGGCAUUCGUAUUGCGGCGCUAGAGGUGAAAUUCUUGGACCGUCGCAAGACGAACUACAGCGAAAGCAUUUGCCAAGAAUGUUUUCAUUAAUCAAGAACGAAAGUUAGAGGUUCGAAGGCGAUCAGAUACCGCCCUAGUUCUAACCAUAAACGAUGCCAA
This 499-nucleotide ribosomal RNA is filed under the name Erythraeidae sp. 2 KG-2006. RNAcentral describes it as "SSU rRNA". It matches the Rfam family "Eukaryotic small subunit ribosomal RNA", at positions 545 to 1045 of the family's 1831-position model. Lineage: Eukaryota; Metazoa; Arthropoda; Arachnida; Trombidiformes; Erythraeidae. The record is from RNAcentral.